CGCGACCCCAGGUCAGGCGGGAACACCCGCUGAUGUUUAAGCAUACUCAAUAAGCGAGAGAAAGAAAUUACCAGGAUUCCCUUAGUAACAGAGCGAGCGAACCGGGAAGAGCCAGCUUGGAGAAUCGGGCGCCCUCCGGCGUACGACAUUAGUCUGCGAGAAGUCCGGUCCUCAGCGGCGGACCGGGGCCAAGUCCCCGGAAGUGGGCGGGACGCACGGAGAGGCUGAGAGCCCGCUCCGCUCGCGCACCUCUCGCACCACGCAGCGCGCUGGUCUGCGACGAGGCGCUGUCUGCGAGUCGGGUUGUUUGGGAAUGCAGCCCCAAUCGGGCGGUAAAUUCCGUCCAAGGCUAAAUACGUGCGAGAGACCGAUAGCGAACAAGUACCGCGAGGGAAAGAUGAAAAGGACUUUGAAAAGAGAGUCAAAGAGUGCUUGAAAUUGUCGGGAGGGAAGCGGAUGGGGGCCGGCGAUGCGCCCCGGUCGGAUGUGGAACGGCGACAAGCCGGUCCGCCGAUCGGCUCGGGGCGCGGACCGACGCGGAUCGCGGCGGCGGCCCAAGCCCGGGCACUAGAAACGCCCGCGGAGACGCCGUCGCAGCGAUCCUCGCAAGCGAUCGUGGAGUGGACAUCAGCGCGCGCCGUCACGGCGUGCCCCGGCACCCGCGCGCUCCUGGCGUCGGCCAGCGGGCUCCCCAUUCGGCCCGUCUUGAAACACGGACCAAGGAGUCUGACAUGUGUGCGAGUCAACGGGCGAGUAAACCCGUAAGGCGCAAGGAAGCUGACUGGCGGGAUCCCCCAACCUCUUAUGGGGUGCACCGCAGACCGACCCUGAAUUUUUAUGAAGGGUUCGAGUGAGAGCACACCUGUCGGGACCCGAAAGAUGGUGAACUAUGCCUGAGCGGGGCGAAGCCAGAGGAAACUCUGGUGGAGGCCCGCAGCGGUACUGACGUGCAAAUCGUUCGUCUGACUUGGGUAUAGGGGCGAAAGACUAAUCGAACCAUCUAGUAGCUGGUUCCCUCCGAAGUUUCCCUCAGGAUAGCUGGAGCUUCUUGUCGGAGUUUUAUCGGGUAAAGCCAAUGAUUAGAGGCAUCGGGGGCACAAUGCCCUCGACCUAUUCUCAAACUUUAAAUAGGUAGGGGUCCCAGGUCCAUUGAAGAGUCGUUAAGUGCCUGUGAAAUGCAACAGUAAUCUUAAUAGGAUAAAUAUCAUUGUAUUUAAGCAUCUAAAAUUAAGUACUAUAAAAUAAACAUCGGGUUACGGUGCCCAACUGCGCGCUAACCCAGAACCCACAAAGGGUGUUGGUCGAUUAAGACAGCAGGACGGUGGUCAUGGAAGUCGAAAUCCGCUAAGGAGUGUGUAACAACUCACCUGCCGAAUCAACUAGCCCCGAAAAUGGAUGGCGCUUAAGCGCGCGACCUAUACCCGGCCGUCGGGGCAAGAGCCAGGCCCCGAUGAGUAGGAGGGCGCGGCGGCCGCUGCAAAACCCGGGCGACCGUGCGGCACUUGUUCCUCCAACAAGUCAGCCUCAAAAGUCCCUAGGAUCUUCACGGCUACCACCCUUCCACCAAGGUACACGGCAACCAAUCCCAAGUUCCAAGAACCUCACGGCAAACAAGUCACCCAAAGCUCAACAAUGAACCUCACGGCAACCAGCUCUAUACAAGAUCACCCAAGUGUUUCCCCACGGCAACUGAUCUCUCCAGUUACCCAAGGUCACAAUGAACCUCACUUGUUCACGGCAACAACCUCAACAACACAAGAGUGCUCCCGGCAACACUUCCCAAACACCCAAUGAGGAACCUCACGUUCACAAGGUGUAAUGCCAACCUUAAACACAAGGCUCACGGCAAACCACUCAACACACCAAGAGAAACCUCACGGCAACAAGUUGCUCAAGUCACUCAAACUUCACGCAACAAGAAAGUGUCCCACACUCAAGAGUGUCCCACGGCAACAACCCAACAAUAAGGAUCCAAUGGCCGAAACUCAACAAGCAACAAGUAGAACUCAACAAGUCUCACGCAAGGCAAAGAACACAAGCAUCAAUGCGCAUUAUACAACCCAAGCAUCAACAAUCAAGCAACCAUCAAAUGCAUGCUUCAACACCAAUGUGCUUCAACCAACCAAGCGGCACCACAAGGCAAGCAAGAAUCCCACGCAAGCUCAAUAACAAAUAGCAAGCAUCCGAAGUAACAAGCAAGUAAUAAGUUACCUCAAGUCACGCAAGACAACUCUUCAACCAACAAUGCGCAUGAUCAAGCCACAACACCCAUCAACCCAAUACCAUGUGCAUUAACAACACAAUAACCACAAUGGGCAGCCGCAUCAACACAAGGCAAGCAACACCAAGCAAGUAAACUUACCUCACGGCAAUGACAAGUGACAAGCAAGAGUCCCACUGCAACCAACCCAGCUCAAGGAUCCAAUGGCCGCCUCCCACUCAAGCUCACGGCAAGAACAAGCUACAAGUGACCAUUCACGCACAAGAGUCCCACGCAAGGCAACAAGAACCACACGGCAACAUCAAUCCAUGCGCAAUAUACAAGCCACAAAGCCAACAACCAUGCAUAACAAACAACCAUACACAAUAACAAGCUCAAAGAAAGGUAGAAGAGAGGAUAUACGAAGUAGAGGGGGCUACUUCUUUUAUUGCUUUACACACCCAAGCUUUACAAUUGCCAUAAAGAGAAAAACACUCUCAAGUUCUUUCUCCCGCAACUCACUCUCUCAAGCUCACUCUCUAUAUAAGCUAGGGAAAUAGUGUGUCAAUCAUGGGUGGACAUGGGGAGCUUGGGGUACGGCCCCUGGCCCACUUGGCCACUUGCCGCUGCAUUUGGAGGGAAUUAUGGCGCCAUUUGUUUGGUCCCGGCAAAUGGCAAGUGGGCUGGCCACCUUC
This 2895-nucleotide ribosomal RNA is filed under the name Hevea brasiliensis (rubber tree). RNAcentral describes it as "eukaryotic LSU rRNA". The stretch from base 4 to 1532 matches the Rfam family "Eukaryotic large subunit ribosomal RNA". The record is from RNAcentral. Lineage: Eukaryota; Viridiplantae; Streptophyta; Magnoliopsida; Malpighiales; Euphorbiaceae.